Molecule: non-coding RNA, 44 nt
Filed under: Martelella sp. AD-3
Lineage: Bacteria; Pseudomonadati; Pseudomonadota; Alphaproteobacteria; Hyphomicrobiales; Aurantimonadaceae
Also listed under: 1 other name
Description: Guanidine-II riboswitch aptamer (mini-ykkC)
Rfam family: Guanidine-II riboswitch aptamer (mini-ykkC)
About the family: Simpler in structure and has fewer highly conserved nucleotide positions than the ykkC-yxkD leader.
Source: Rfam by way of RNAcentral
CGCGGGACGACCUGCGUCUUCUGUCACAAUCCGGGACGGCCCGG